AUUUAAAUUUAAAAAACCACCACAUUAAUGUUACUGUCUGCAAAGCACUGAAAGUCCUGGGUUUCUUAAAACGUAACACUAAAAUAUUUAGCUCUGUCCACUGUCUUUGUACACUUAACCUAUUCCUUGUACACCCAAUUUUAGAGUACUGUAUAAUAGUUUGACACUCUCAUUUAGUGAAAGACCAGUUAAGACUAGAGACAGUCCAGAAUAGGUUUCUUUCAUAUAUCUAUUCCCUACUUAAAAUUGUGCAUCCACAACAUAACUACUACUAUACUUUUAAAACUAAAGAUCUCCACGCUUUCUUUUCAACAAAUUGAUACUGAUUUUUGUUUUAUUCAAAGUCUACUUGAUGAUUCAAUAUGUUAUGUGCCCACACGUGCCCCCAGCAAGAGGCAGGCUGUAUAUGGUGCUAAUCACCACAUAUGGAACCGAAUACCUACCAGUAGGCAUGUAAAAAUACACAGCACC
This is a non-coding RNA of Cinara cedri, 471 nucleotides long. NCBI's taxonomy places the organism in Eukaryota, Metazoa, Arthropoda, Insecta, Hemiptera, Aphididae. The record is from the annotation of a GenBank genome assembly.